AGAGUGCCAAUUAAGCUUGCCUUUUACAAUUUCACCUGCUUAUUGGCUGUUCUGAACGUGGGAUAUCGUGAAGCGACCUUCAGGGAAAUUAUAUAUAUCUUAUACGAAGGAACAGGGCAAGCAAAUUAAUAAAUGAAUGUGAAAAAAUAAACUGGAGUUAAUUAUCGUAUACGGUCGGUGAAUGGAUGAAUAGAUAUAUAGAGGUAGAUAGAUAGUUAUAUUGAUAGAUAGAUAGAUAGGUAAGUAGGUGAUAGGUAUAGUAGGUAAGUAGGUAGGUGGAUGGGAGUGCCUGUCCGUUUGUUAGCGAGUCAAACGCCCCAGCGGUCCACGCAUAUCUCCCAUACCCCCAUGCUUGAGGUCCAGUUAUGAAUCGCGUUAACAUGAUGCAAAAACUGAUAACAACCACGCAGGACAGCGCGCAUUAUAUUUAUUAUUAUCUCACUAUAUAAUUUUAAUAAUUCUGCCAUAUUGAAUUGCUUCCACAUUUUCUCUUCUAAAUACUUUGUCUCUCUUUAUCCUUUUUAUUAUGUAGAAAAAAAAGAAGAAAAAAUCAAACAAAAGAAACAGCAAAAUAA
Apis dorsata (giant honeybee) is the source of this 575-nucleotide long non-coding RNA. RefSeq lists it as uncharacterized. The record is from RefSeq and is a predicted model, not a curated record. The transcript has 2 exons. NCBI's taxonomy places the organism in Eukaryota, Metazoa, Arthropoda, Insecta, Hymenoptera, Apidae.